Molecule: long non-coding RNA, 2471 nt
Organism: Hypanus sabinus (Atlantic stingray)
Lineage: Eukaryota; Metazoa; Chordata; Chondrichthyes; Myliobatiformes; Dasyatidae
Exons: 2
Source: RefSeq, a predicted model, not a curated record
GGGUGGUGUUAAUGUGAAUGUGGAGAAAUUCAAAUGUGAUUGGAGUACUGUAAAUGUGCGCUUAAUGGUUAAUCACAGAAUCAGUGGGCCUAAAACCUGUUUCCUUGCUUUAUGAUUCCAUGAGUGGCUCGAGAUAAUUGGGAAAACAUUGGAACAAUUAUGUUUGGACCAUCAUGAGGUGCUGCAGUUGGCAUCUUGGGUGGUGGAGUGAGGGUGAGAGUGAUGGCUGGAGUUGGACCUAUUAAAGAGUUGCCGGGGGAAUUGUUAUGAGGUAGAUGUUUCUGUGUUGAAGUCGAUGUAUCUGAAGCUGAUUCACAAGGCUAGAUGUUAAAUGUUCAUGCUCUGUUAGGAAGCUUUGAUUUUGUGUCAACAUGUCCUUGCUGUGGACCACAUGAAUAUGAACAAAUACUCAUGUAGGAAUAGGAAAAGUGUUUGAAAGCAAUUGCAGGUUUCAGAUUUGGAAGAACAAUUGUGGACUGUAAUCUACUUUACAUAUCCAAUUUUACAUAACCAAAAUGCUAUAAAAUCUAAUUGCUGUCACGCUAUCGAUUUUAUUCUUGGAUAUUGAAUCAACACAACUCUAAGAAUUAAUAUUUAGGAAAAAAGAGAAAAUUUGAAUUUGUGAGGUAAAAGUAUAUAUUAUACUACCAAACAUUAAAUUAUAUAACAUUUUUUGUGAAAUUUGAUGUCUUCACUGCAAUCUGUUGCCAAUAUGGGGCAGUGAAGUGAAAUUGCUGACAAAUGGACAUAUUCAGCUCUGCAGACUUAUUUAGCCAAAAGUGAAACAGUGAUUGAAGUGUAGUUUAACAUUUCCACCAAAUAAAUUUGGAAUAUUGUGUUGUAUCAGGUACCUGGGAUAUAUACAAAGAUUUGAUCUCAUGCUGAUACAAAUAGUCAUCUGAAGUUACAUAGUAUAAAACGGCACACUAACUGGCUAAAUUAUUUUUUUCUUCUUCAUCCCUCGUUCCCAUUCUUCUAGUGCGGGCCUGACCCUAUAGUAUAGUUAGACUUGCUGUUGAAACCAGAUUUAGUGUCUUGCAUUGUGGGAUAUGGAUCAACUGGAAAGUUGGGUGGUAUGUGACAGAUGGACUUUAAUUCAGACAAGCGUGAGGAUCAUACACUCGAAGGGAUCAACUUCAAUGCAGAGUAAAUAAAAGGGAGUUAAGGACAGGGCUGGAUUAAGCUAGUGUGGGGCCUGGAUCAUAUGUUAUAAAGGGGCCCUAAAUUUAGAAACAAAAUGCACAUAAGUAUUAAGACAUAAAUUAUUUACUUGCAUAGUAAACUAAUUUAAUUUUUUUCAUUUCCUCUACAGCCAGAUAAUACGACAAAUAUCUGACACUUCAGUAAUAGUAUUACGUAAAUUUUUGAAAAUGAGCAUUCUGCACUGCAGCUGGUAACCAUGAAUGACAGACCCCGGCCGGUGUUGCAGCCUUGACCCGAAGUGCAGCUCCCAAAUUCCGGCCUCAGCCAAUGAGAGCAUGCUUCUCCCAGCGGUACUCACUGAUUGGCUGGACGUGUGUCUGAGGACGGGCUGCUACCGGGAGCUGAAGCUGUCAGUCUCAGUUUGUUCUCAGAGUCGAAGGAAGUUCCCCGAAACUCAAAGUGCAAAGUAAAUUUUAUUGUCAGAAUGAAACUGGGUUCACAGCUUUUAGGAAGUGAACUCAAUCCACAGUACAUUGUCAAAGAGCAGAAGACUGUUGGCUAAAGUCACUUAUUUAAGUGUAACUGAAUCGUCUACCCAAAACUCACUGAAACAGUAGUGAGAACAUGGUGAGAAUGCCAAUAUCACCAGACUGCGGUUUGCAAGCAUUUAGUGUGGGCGGCGCCCGUAGGAUAUGCUACAUUUGCUACUCGACUGGUCAAUGAACACUGAGGCUGUCUACAAGAAGGUUCAGAGCCGUCUCUACUUUCUGAAGAGACUGAGGUCCUUUAACAUCUGUCGGACGAUGCUGAGGAUGUUCUACGUGGCUGUGGUGGCCAGUGCUAUCAUAUUUGUUGUUGUGUGCUGGCGCAGCAGGCUGAGGGUAACAGACACCAACAGACUCAACGAACUCAUUUGUAAGGCCAGUGAUGUUGUGGGGGUGGAAUUGGACUCUCUGAUGGUGGUGUCUGAAAAGAGGAUGCUGUCCAAGUUGCAUACCAUCUUGGACAAUGUCUCCAAUCAACUCCAUAAUGUACUGGUUAGGCACAGGAUUAUAUUCAGCCAGAGACUCAUUCCACCGAGAUGCAACACUGAGCGUCAUAGGAAGUCAUUCCUUCCUGUAACCAUCAAACUUUACAACCCCUCCCUCGGAGUGUCAGACACCCUGAGCCAAUAGUCUGGUCCUGGACUUAUUUCCACUUGGGAUAAUUUACCGAUUAUUAUUUUAUUAUUUAUGAUUUAUAUUGCUAUAUUUCUACUCUAUUCUUGGUUGGUGCAACUGUUAUGAAACCCAAUUUCCCUCGGGAUCAAUAAAGUAUCUCUGCCUGUC